CCGUUAACCUGGGCUCGAAAUGCAGGAGACCGGGUAGAAUAUCCCUUCCGCAAGGACUGCUGUAUAGGUGCUGCAUGGCUGUCGUCAGCUCGUGUCGUGAGAUGUUGGUUAAGUCCGCAACGAGCGCAACCCUUAUCCCUAGUUGCCAUCGGGUCAAGCCGGGCACUCUAGUGAAACCGCCCCGGAUAACGGGGAGGAAGGUGGGGAUGACGUCAAGUCCUCAUGGCCUUUAUGUCCAGGGCUACACACGUGCUACAAUGGUCGGUACAAACCGUCGCAAACCCGCAAGGGGGAGCUAAUCGGAAAAAGCCGGCCUCAGUUCGGAUUGAAGUCUGCAGCUCGACUUCAUGAAGCUGGAAUCGCUAGUAAUCGCAGAUCAGAACGCUGCGGUGAAUACGUUCCCGGGCCUUGUACACACCGCCCGUCACAUCACGAAAGUGGGCCGUACUAGAAGUCGGUGCGCUAACCGCAAGGAGGCAGCCGCCCAAGGUACAGCUCAUGAUUGGGGUGAAGUCGUAACAAGGUAAGCGUAGUGCU
This 537-nucleotide ribosomal RNA is filed under the name uncultured bacterium. RNAcentral's name for it is "bacterial SSU rRNA". It matches the Rfam family "Bacterial small subunit ribosomal RNA", at positions 966 to 1509 of the family's 1533-position model. The record is from RNAcentral.